GACAGAGGGUGCAAACGUUGCUCGGAAUUACUGGGCGUAAAGCGCGUGUAGGCGGACCACCAAGUCGGACGUGAAAGCCCUGAGCUCAACUCAGGAACUGCAUCCGAAACUGGCGGUCUGGAGUAGUGGAGAGGAAAGCAGAAUUCCUGGUGUAGAGGUGAAAUUCGUAGAUAUCAAGAGGAACACCUGAGGUGAAGACGGGUUGCUGGGCUGACACUGACGCUGAGGCGCGAAAGCCAGGGGAGCAAACGGG
RNAcentral lists this ribosomal RNA (253 nucleotides) under uncultured bacterium. RNAcentral's name for it is "partial 16S ribosomal RNA". It matches the Rfam family "Bacterial small subunit ribosomal RNA", at positions 524 to 776 of the family's 1533-position model. The record is from RNAcentral.